Molecule: ribosomal RNA, 465 nt
Filed under: uncultured bacterium
Lineage: Bacteria
Description: partial 16S ribosomal RNA
Rfam family: Bacterial small subunit ribosomal RNA
Source: RNAcentral
GAUGAGCGCUGGCGGCGUGCUUAACACAUGCAAGUCGAACGGAAAGGCCCAAGCUUGCUUGGGUUAUCGAGUGGCGAACGGGUGAGUAACACGUGGGUGAUCUGCCCUGCACUUCGGGAUAAGCCUGGGAAACUGGGUCUACUACCGGAUAGGACCACAUUUUGGAUGGUGUGGUGGAAAGCUUUUCGGUAUGGGCUGGGCUCGCGGCCUAUCACCUUGUUGGUGGGGGAAUGGGUGACGAAGUAGUCGACGGGUAGCCGGCCUGGGAGGGUGUACGGCCACAUGGGGACUGAGGGACGGCGCAGACGCCAACGUGAGGCAGCAGGGGGGAAUAUUGCACAAUGGGCGCAAGCCUGAUGCAGCGACGCUGCGUGGGUGAAGACGGCCUUCGGGGUGUAAACACCUUUCGCUAGGGACGAAGCGCAAGUGACGGUACCUGGAGAAGAAGCACCGGCUAACUACGUG